RNAcentral lists this ribosomal RNA (492 nucleotides) under uncultured bacterium. Its description in RNAcentral is "partial 16S ribosomal RNA". It matches the Rfam family "Bacterial small subunit ribosomal RNA", at positions 29 to 507 of the family's 1533-position model. The record is from RNAcentral.
AUUGAACGCUGGCGGCAUGCUUUACACAUGCAAGUCGAACGGUAACAGGCCUUCGGGUGCUGACGAGUGGCGAACGGGCGAGUAAUGCAUCGGAACGUACCCAGAGGUGGGGGAUAACGCAGCGAAAGCUGUGCUAAUACCGCAUGUGAUCUGAGGAUGAAAGCGGGGGACCGAGCAGGAAUGUUUGGCCUCGCGCCUUUGGAGCGGCCGAUGUCGGAUUAGCUAGUUGGGGGGGUAAAGGCCUACCAAGGCGACGAUCCGUAGCUGGUCUGGGAGGACGACCAGCCACCCUGGGACUGGGACACGGCCCAGACUCCUACGGGAGGCAGCAGUGGGGAAUUUUGGACAAUGGGCGCAAGCCUGAUCCAGCAAUGCCGCGUGCGGGAAGAAGGCCUUCGGGUUGUAAACCGCUUUUGGCAGGAACGAAACGGUGUCCGCUAAUACCGGGCGCUAAUGACGGUACCUGCAGAAUAAGCACCGGCUAACUACGUG